CCUACGGGUGGCUGCAGUGAGGAAUAUUGGUCAAUGGGCGUACGCCUGAACCAGCCAAGUCGCGUGAGGGAAUAAGGCCCUAUGGGUUGUAAACCUCUUUUGCCAGGGAGCAAGGCCGGCUACGUGUAGCCGGACGGAGAGUACCCGGAGAAAAAGCAUCGGCUAACUCCGUGCCAGCAGCCGCGGUAAUACGGAGGAUGCGAGCGUUAUCCGGAUUUAUUGGGUUUAAAGGGUGCGUAGGCGGGAUGGUAAGUCAGCGGUAAAAUUGCGGGGCUCAACCCCGCUCCGCCGUUGAAACUGGCGUGCUUGAGUGGGCGAGAAGUAGGCGGAAUGCGUGGUGUAGCGGUGAAAUGCAUAGAUAUCACGCAGAACUCCGAUUGCGAAGGCAGCAUACCGGCGCCCCACUGACGCUGAGGCACGAAAGCGUGGGUAUCGAACAGGAUUAGAUACCCUAGUAGUC
RNAcentral lists this ribosomal RNA (460 nucleotides) under uncultured bacterium. RNAcentral's name for it is "partial 16S ribosomal RNA". It matches the Rfam family "Bacterial small subunit ribosomal RNA", at positions 338 to 795 of the family's 1533-position model. The record is from RNAcentral.